ACAUGAAAUUUCCCUGUCUUUUUAAACGUGUUUGUCUGUGUCUCAUUCUCACAUGCAUCGUUUAAGCCAAGACAUUUCAGUCCUCAGUUCUUUGAUGCCAUUUGGCUUCAAUUUCCACAUGAAAUGCUUGGAAACUAAAGAUGACUCAGAAGGGGUUGAAACCCUUGUCCUGCAAGACUCUUUGUGAAGCAAGCAAACGAUUUCCUUUGUAUGAAGCAAGUGCGUGCUCUGAGCCCCUGAUUUAGCUUGGUUCCUCUUCCCUCUCUCAACACACAAGGCCUGGGACAUUUCUGCCAAGAGUUGUACUUGCACUUAAGGUACAAGUCCCUGAAUUGUCCCUGAUAAGAAGUAGCCAUUAUUGAAGUCUUGUGGCUUUGACUGUGAAGGCUUUCAAGUUUUUUUUUUUUUUUUUUUUUUUUUUUGUGUGUGUGUGAAGACUGCCUAUCCAUUUAUAGUUGUUAUAUAAAAAUGUGAGUGAGGGUUUAUCUCUUCCUUUUAGAUGUAUGGCUCUAGCUCUGGAAUUGCUUCCAAGUUUACAAAAUGAGUCUGGUUUAGACCUCUCUGAUAAACAUUUUUUUUUGUUGCUGUUGCAAAGUUGGAUCAGAGUUUUGUUGUCAUAAUGGUUGGUGCACUUGGCAGCUUGCAUUUUAAAUAAUUAGGAGAUAAAAUUGGACUGUGUUUGAAUUCAGUAUGUCUGGUAUUUUCUUGCUUUACUUGGUUAUGUUUUUAAUCCCCCUUUUAACUUUGAAGACUAAUGUAAGACAGUUAAGAACUGAGGGCUGGUAAAUUUUUUUUGUCAUUUUUGAAACCUAGAUCCAAGCCAGCUUCUCUUCAAUAUUUCAGCCUCGCCCUCCCAGGACACUUAGAGAUAGAUCAAUGUCUUUAUCAAAAGAAGUGCGCCUUUUGUGAUGGUAACACUGUAACAUUAAAUAUUCAUUCUAAUCUGCAGUUGAGACAAUUACAUUGUUCCCAAUAUAUUUUACUUUGGAUUAUGAAGUUUUAAAAAUAUGCCACUUAAAUUUCAACCUACUAUAGCUGGUAAGGGAGUUUACGGCUCUGAUGCAUCAGAAUUGAGAUAGUUUUGCAACACUUGAGGAAAAUCUUCAGUAUUCUUCACAUGGAGCAAAGCGAUCAACUUAAAGGAUGGCAUUGAUAGGUGUUGUUUUUUUUUCUUUUUGCUGAACACAAUGCUGUAGGUAUGGUGGGAGAGGAAGUGCAGCAAAAUAACAGGCUAAACUGUUGAGAAACAUUCAUCCCAUCUAAGGAACCUUUGCUGUGUGAAAUGUAUAUGUUAAAAAUAUAUUCUAGAAUUCAGUUACACUGAGGAAAAGUUCCUGAUACAUGGUGUUGUUCUGCACUUAUUGAGAGCAAUUGGUUCCAGUCCUGGUCUAGAAGUAGAUGAAUUGUAACAACAGAAGUAAUUUCUAUAUUAUUAGAAUCCAAUUCUGGAAAAAAAAUAAAAUAAAAUGCAAACUGGCCUUGUUAACUGUAGUUUGGCAAUAUACUCUGAAUUCACAGAAUGGAAGCAUGGAAACACAACCUUGCUCUAACGUGAGCUGAGUUUGUUCAUAUAUUUUGUUGAGUUUUUAUAUGAGUUUGUUGAUGUAUUGACUACUCCAUUUGCUUUCUUUUGAAGGCUCUACAUUCACUUUAUUAUCAUUACAGUUGAUUCUAUGUAGAGAUUGGGCCUCCCAGUUUUUCCUCUGGGCAGCUUGUGGUGGGAGACCAAGAUGCACAGGCAACUGAAAUGUCCUUAUCUCCAACAGGAGCUCAUCAAGCAAGACAACUCUAAGCUUGUUUCUACCAAACUCUGUGUCAGGACUGUAAUUCAGGAGUGAACCUUGCUUUAAAGCCCUAAUUUGAAGGAGCAAAGAUGAAGCCCUGCCUGCAUUACAGUGUAAAUGCUUCUACCCUGACUACAUGAAGUUUAGCUGUGUAUUGUUCUGACUGCCAAAGGAUUCUGCUUACUCCUUGCCUCACGUGGAAAUUUGAAAACUAUUCAUGAGAGAGCAGAUUUGCUCAAUUAUUGAUUCAUUCCACACACUGUGUGCUUUGUAAGUUGUAUUUCGCAUAAAAGCAUGUGGUGUUAGGCUGGUGCAAUCAAGGAGGCAUCACUAGUUAAUCUAGCUGGCAUGAUAAUCUGCUGGAUUUGUGCACAUCAUAAAUAUGAUUGGCUUAGUGCCUGGAGAAGUAUGAAAUUGUUCCUGGUGUGGGCAUGUGCUGGUGGGAGAAGGAAGAGGUGGCAGACAGUGGUUCUCAUUAAUUAGUAAGUGGAUUGAUUCCUUAAGCAGAAAUGUACUACUUGCGAUAAAUCUUUUUUUUUUAAAUCCCAGCUUCUGUAUUCAAUUUUACCUCUCCUAUAGUGGAAGAGUUAAUUAUGUUAAAAGGCUUGUACUCAAGUUAUUUAUCUUCAAGGAUUUUUCUCUGUAACUUCUGAAAAUGUUUUGAUGUCUAUCACAGAUCCUCUUUGAGGUUGGAGUGUUCUGGCUCUGUCACUUCCAUUUGUGUUCUUGUGUUUGGACCUGACAAAUUGUACCCAUUUGUGCUGUGGUUACAGCUGAUGUUGGUUUUCCAUUUUAUGGGCCAAAUACAGUCCUUGGAUGCAUGUGUGCAGUUCCCACUGACUUCAAUCAUCUGUCUAUUUUAUUUAUAGUCUUUUUCUUCCUGACGCUCAUCGUUUCAGCGUAACAGUAUUGCCCAAACAAUGCCUUCUCCUAAUCUCCUGUGGCCUAAAUAAACUGAAAUGCGCCAAAUUCUUUUCAUGUUUACACCAACACAACACCUGUCUUUGGCAGUGAAUGUGUGAAAAUUAGAUACUUGUUUCAGUAUGCCUGAAGUUUUUAUGUCUCAUCCCUGUUCAUACAACUUGUUCAACUUGUGCAAAGUCUGACUACAUUAAUGGAAAAGCAAAUCUGAUUCUAGAGGAGCAGUGCUAUUAGUCACAUUAUCUGCAGAAGUGAGAUAGCUGACAGUAAUAGCUGUGUUGUUUCAACUUUUUCUCACUAAAAAUUACUUAAGUGAAAUGUAAAUUACGUAAAUGAAAUUGCUAGAGGGGCUUUGAGGGCACUGUUACAUGGCAGUUAGUUCACCGUUCAUCUGGGACAGAAAGAUGUACUUGAAUUUGAGAGGCAAUGUUACUCCUAAAUUCAAGCUGCCAUGCUUCACAGGAGGACAUGCAGUAUAGCCAACUUCCACUCAACUAUCAUGAAUACAGGUUUUUUGGCAGGUUUUGAAACCUCUUCAAAUGCAUAUGGAGGUGCAAGAGGAAGGAACGACUUACUUCUGGGAGGGGUAUGGGAGCGCCAGGCCAACCUUACAGACGCCUGCAACCUCCUGGUCACAGCAGGAGGUCUGCACUGUAAGGCGCUCGGCUAGAAGAAGCCAUGCUUUCACUGCAUGUAAUGUGCUAUUCACCAUCCUGGUUUAGUAUUGCAGUUUUGUAAUUUCCCUUGGCAGCUUUACAGUGCUUGAGAAUAAGUAGGAAUGGAAUCAGGGAGGAGAGGGAAGUGAAUUGCCCAUCUAACUUUUCAGUGCAGUUGAAAGUGAUUGCACCUCUCCAUAGCAGCAAGCUCAUCCACAGGGACUUGAUACUAAUGUUUGCAGUGUCUCUAGACACUGCUAAAUAAGCCUUUUACCUGAGGAUUACCAUUUCAGCUGGGAUCCCUAUUAAUAGGUACUUGAUAGCUUCUUAAUGAGACAAGUUGUAAUUUCUGUUCCAGUUCCUGCAAGAAAGUGCACUGGUAUCUUUUGCCCCAUGUCCGUGGCUUUCUACCCGUUCUGAGUUGUUUAGAAUUUUUUUCUGCUUGGAGUUGAAAUCGGAUAUAGUGAGUUGAAGGCUCUGACAUGUAGGCAUAGACCCUCCAAAAGUAGUCCAUAAAGCCCCAGCAGGCUGCGGACCACAGCUAGGACCUGACGGGAUGGUCAGGGCAGUUCCCAGAGAUCCCCUCCACUAUUCAGGGUGGCUGCAGUGAGAGCUCACAUACAGAAGACUGAAAUCAACACUAUGGCAGUGAGAUUUGUUGUUGUUAUUAUAUUAUUCAGGUAGAGGGGGCGAUUAGGAGGAUUCAGAAACUGCCCUUAAAACUUUCACAUUUCCUACUUAAAUUUUAAAGAGUAGCAUUCCAGUGAAUUCUCAAGAUUUCACAGUAUCUUAUUUUUAAAGCAUUUUUGGAGUAAGAUCUUGCUUGAAUGACAACUGCUGUUUGCCCUUCAAUCACUGCGCUUGCUCUGGACUGACUCUAACCAUGAUGUAAGUGCAUGAAAUAGUUCCUGAGGUGUUACAACAGUCCUCAGUGGGGAAACACCUACUUGUUUAGAUUCUCAUUUCUGGUGUCUUAAUGACCCCUUAAUAGUUCUUUAGUUUUUCUACUACAUGUAUAUGUGAAAUAAAAUACGCUAAUAAAUUAACUUUGCACUUAGCCUGGAGAGUGUUGUUCAUGACAGUCUGCAGAACAACCAGUUCUACAAACCAACUGGAGCUUCAGAGCACAAAACCAGAUUUUUCCAUCUGUGUGAAAUCCAUUGGAAAUGGAAUAUGGAAAGAAGAAAAAAAAACUGUAAAUACCUUUCUGGUAAACUCCUUUGUUCUGUUUUAGAAAAUGCUUCACAUAAACCAAGCUAAGAUCAAUUUGUAGCCAUAGGGGUGCUGGAUGCUGCCCCAGCUUUGGCUGCUGAUGGCUCAUCAGCUCCUCUGUGGCAGUGUCCCCUUGGCUGGGACAAGUCCUGCUACAGCAUGGAUGGAAAAUCUGAACCAAGUUUAGAUUAUGUUCUCUCUUUUGGGGCUAAAGCAGAUUUGGGAGGGAGCAGGGGUGAUGAAUCUCAUGGGUUUUCUUUGAUCUCUUCCUGCCUGUGUGAUAUGUAGCAUUUCCUUAGGACUGCAGAGCAGCAGUCAGUCCUGUGGAUGCAACUGAAACUCAUUUCUGUGUACAGAUCCUGCUAGGCUCCUUUCUACACUUACUUACAGGAGAAAGGGGGAAGAUUAGCCUCAUUUUGCUGCCCACAUAUUACGUUGAACAUGAGGGAUUGAAAUCUGAAUAGUGUGCUGUUGAAUUCUUGCUGGUUGAUUUCUGUGGAGAGCCUGCAUGUCUCAUUUUAAUUUUUCUUCAUUUUUGAUAUUUCUUUUCCUUCAAUUCUUCCUUUUUUUCAGUCAUUUGAAAUAGGGGAUAUAACUUGAAACUGGAAGCAAAAAAUUUGCUUUGAGAGAUCAAGAGUCCUUUAAGCAGCUUACUGGAUCAGCAGUCGCAAAGUUAUCGGGAGGCUUGAACUCUUUCUAUGGCUUUAACAGGAGCAGCACAGUGCUGGAGCAAACAUCACAACUCUGCAUCCUCAAGGGAAGACUUAGUGCUUUACACAUACAAGCAGAACUAAAUACUGUACUUUGAUGUACUCCUUUUUUUUUUUCCUUUAUUGUUAUUACUUUCAACCUGUUGGGAGUAAGUUUUUCUGCGCUCCUGGUUCAGAUUUCCCUUGAUGUUGUGUGGAUCUCGUGUGCACUACAUAAAACUAGAAAGAAGGACACUUCUUGAUGGUGGUAGCUGUCCUAACAGCUAUAAGCUACGGAUUUGUGUCAGUGUGAGUUUUAUGCAUUUCCAUGUGUAAAACAGUGCUCUUAAUGUCACAGGAUUGUUGCACUGUCUAAUAUUUGCUGUAUGGCUGGUACUCUACUGUGGUAGGUAGAAGCAGAAAGAACACCCAGCGGCCAGAUCGCAGGGGCUGGUGCUGUGUGAGGUUGCACUCAGUGCUCUCUGACCAGGCACAGUAGCAGGGCUCUGAUUUUCAGCCUGCUUUACCAGAGGGUUUACUACGGAAGGUCAGUAACAGCCAGGGGGUAACUAUCUGUCUUGCCACGUGUUUAAAAAUAAAAGCCUUGUAUUUUUAUCUAGGAUGUCUCACGCGCUUUGGAAAAAAUGAGGCAAAGGAGUGUAAUGACCAACUGGGUUGUCCCCUGUGGUUACAAACAGCUAUGCCAUAUAAGCAUGUUUAUAAACUGACCAAGAUCUGUUAAAAUAAAAUAACCCAGUAAAUCUCCAGGUUUUUUGAGUACUUGCUUGUUUUGGGGGUCAAGGGGAAGAGGAGAUUGCGCUCUUUUUCCUGUUGAAAAGGUGUUUCAUAGCCUAACCUUUGAUGGGUAAGAAUCUACGUCUAAUUUCAUACUAACUUAUAGAAGCACACCUUUUUAGCAGUAAAAGCAAGGCUUUGGAGAAGGAAAACUAACAGCUUGUGUAUGGAAGCAUCAGAUUUCAAUCACCGAAGUGCCCUGGCUCUACAGGUCCGAAUCCUGGCAGUGGCUGUGUUUGUUCCUCAAAGGCAGAUAAAUUAGGCACCAUGGAUUUCACUGUCAUGAAAGGUUAACGUUUCCUUUUGUGUCCUUUAAGACCAUAGGAUGUAGUCCGUAUUUAAUACAAUUUGUCCCAAUGUCCCUGAUUUAAAUUUUUCUCUUUUCUGUUCCCCAAUGCAUGUGCAGUGCCCUAAACUGAUUUCAAUUCAUGAAACACCGUGUUAGAUAAAGACAUGUUGAAAACUUCCCUGCUACCAUGCUGGUAUGCUGUGGGAAUUCAAAUACAAACCACACCUCUACAACAGCUGAAAGUACACGCGUGUGUGCGUGUUGACAUAACAAAAAGGUAUUUUGAACUGUUCCCAGGGUUUGUUGGAAGGCAAAAAUAUCCUGUAAAAGUCCAUAUGGAACAUUCGUGAGGUACUGCAGUAGCAGGAGUAGAGAUUCAUUUCCUGAAGUCCAGAUUUAACUAAAUUUCCUGCUGAAACUAGUAGUCAUGCUGAAAUACUAGCAGUAAAGAAAGUGGGGCAACACAAAGCUGAUCUGGAAUCCUGCUGAGAAUUUUACUUCCCAGACAAUGUUUGUCAAAAUAGUAACGCUGAUAAAGCUUGAUUUCAAAAACUGUCACAUUUUACUUUUUUCUCCUGCUGUACUAAAGUUGCUGGAAUGUUUGUUUUUUUAUACUUUUGAAAUGAAUAUUUCUUAGGUUUAAGCAACUUUUUGUUCAGGUAUUUCAUUUAAGCAAAUAAACAAGUAAGGAGAUUAAAAUUGAAACAAAUCUGUUUGCAAAUAAACGCAAUAAAUAUCUGGAUAUUUUGUUUGGCCCUGGAAGAUGUAAAAAAAAA
Long non-coding RNA from Anas platyrhynchos (mallard), 7122 nucleotides. RefSeq lists it as uncharacterized. The record is from RefSeq and is a predicted model, not a curated record. NCBI's taxonomy places the organism in Eukaryota, Metazoa, Chordata, Aves, Anseriformes, Anatidae.